CUAGGGUUACCGCGGCCGUCGCCCCACCCCUGCUCAUGGCCUCGGUUGAUUUAGCGCCGCCGCCACCCCUUUUCUCUUGUCCACGCUCUCUGUCCUUGCAAGCAACCUCUCCUCUCCUCGUCUCUCUCCUCCGCGUCUUCCUCCGGGGAGCCUUGCGGCUGCAGCAGGAGGGGAGAAAGGAGGCCGGGCCAGCCGAUUUCCUCGCCGGAUCUGGAGCGCAGGGGCGACGCCGGCGAGUAACCGAUCAGGGAGGAGCAUUGGUCGCCGGUGAAGAAAAUAUGGGAGGGAGACGAGAGGAGCACUGAUCGGGUGGAGUCAUCAGGGAUGGUCGAUGCCAAGGUCAGCUUUCCCAAUCAUUCUCCCCCAUCUUUGCAGCAAGACUCAUUGGGUUCCUUCGAUCUAAGCCGGUUUAUGUCGUUUUGCUUCAUAUAAUCAUGGUGGAACUAGGCUAUAUUUCUUACAGUGAAGCGAGGGUGACUAAAAAAAAUUUGGUGUACGUCAAUCAUUAGCUUGAAUUUUUACCUGCAGCUGAUCUUAUUCUGGUGAGAGUUUGAUGACAGGGAGAAAGUUCAGAGAUGUGUCCAGUCUUGCAUUCCCAAGUAAUCAUUGGUGUUCAUUUUUGAAAUACUGCUUUGUACUUCCACCGUAACAAAAUGUAAGACGUUUUUAUACCCUAUGCAAACCAAAAAAAGUCUUAUAUUUUGGUACAAAG
This 712-nucleotide long non-coding RNA is filed under the name Triticum aestivum (bread wheat). RNAcentral describes it as "long non-coding RNA (TAES_LNC015170)". The record is from RNAcentral. Lineage: Eukaryota; Viridiplantae; Streptophyta; Magnoliopsida; Poales; Poaceae.